ACGCUCGACACCUACUGGAGGCAGCAGUUGGGAAUAUUGGACAAUGGAGGAAACUCUGAUCCAGUGACGCCGCGUGAAGGAAGAAGGUCUUCGGAUUGUAAACUUAUUUUGUCAGGGAAGAAAAAUGACUGUACCUGAAGAAAAAGCACCGGCUAACUACGUGCCAGCAGCCGCGGUAAUACUGAGCGGGCGUGCGAAGC
Molecule: ribosomal RNA, 200 nt
Filed under: uncultured bacterium
Lineage: Bacteria
Description: partial 16S ribosomal RNA
Rfam family: Bacterial small subunit ribosomal RNA
Source: RNAcentral